GGGGUGGGAGGCGCUGGGGAUGGUGGUUGUGAGGGCUGGAUAGGGCCUUUGCUGAGGCGAGUCAGGCUUCUGCUACCAUCCGCACACUCUUUGAGGUCACCCCGCCUCAAUCCGUGUUCUCCAUACCCAGCUUGGGAGUGUAAGAGUUGCCCUAUAGGAUAGGGAGCUCUUGCUGCCUUAGGGUUUACUAUGGUUUAAGCUGGCUGUAAACCUAUAGAACCAAGAGCACCAUGGGGAUUUUUUUUUUUUGUGGUAUAAAGGGGCAGGCUCAAUGCCUCUCUUUAAGAGCUUUAAUCUCACUUAUUUUCAUUGGCCAUUUGUCCCUGUAUGCUUUCCUGAGGCCCUGCACGUGUCAGUGGUCCUAGCUUGGCCCUCAGUCUUCAGCCUCUUGUCACCCACUGAAAUGUGGGGUGAUAGGAGCCAGUGUGCCCUACUCCUCACACAUGUGUCUUGUGGUUCCCAGGGACACCCCCUGCUCUUGUGCAGGCUCUGUCUUUUUCUCUGUGUCCAUGCCCAGCCACAUGAACCAAAGGGCCAUUGUUCAUGGACAGAUGUUGUGUGAAGACCUCGGGGAGACUUGCUGCACUAAAAUGUAUUGCUACAUUUGGGACCACAACCUCAUGGCCUUCCUGAGACCUGAUUUUACAACAAUAAGUGACAAUGAAGUGAUGAAGUCCCUGAGCAGAAGUGAAAGAGCCAAAAGAAGAUGAUGAUGAAGGUUCAUGGGCAAUCUGCCCUCUAACUCUAUCUUGCUCCCUGCUGUGGCAUUAUGGAAUGAAAUUGCUUGGAGGUGUUGUGUGCUGUAGGUGGAAUACAAAAGCAGCCCUGGGGCUGUACUGGCUGAGAUGUGAAGCCCAGUGGGACUGCAACGAUUUUUAUAAAUAAUGAGACAAAUACUUGCCCAAGUCCAGGAAAUAAGUGGUUGAGGCUGAUGUUUACAAUACACUGGAAAACCUAUACUAAAAAGACAUUAGGAAAUACCUUCAAAGUUUUUUGUCUGUUUCUGUAGCCAAUGGAAUACUUUCUUCAGCUGCCAGAAUUAUAGAUUCAACCUAUAAUCAAGCUUCAUUGAUACAAGUAGCUAUAAAGAUUGUGAACAUCAAAUUACAGCUGUGCUUCCUCUUUCACAGCAUGCAUUGAGAUCUAGUGAUCUGCUUUUACUGACUCCAGUGCUGAUGACAGCUGAAUAUUCAGAUGAAUUUCACUCCUUAUUUUACUGCACUUGAUUUUUCUGCAGUUGUUCUGGGUCUGGUGGGAAAUUGUGAAUAAAAAUAACUGGUAAAACUGUGCAAAUGAAGGCACAGUAUUAGGCAUGCAGUGUCAAAUUAAUGUUCUUUGAUCUUUUGUAGAAUCACUUAUAGUUGGAAAUACACUUCUGACCUUUUCUCUGGCACUGAGAAUAUUGCUGUGUCACUCCCUAAUGUGAAAUCUGGACAAUUUACAGGCACUAAAGAAAAGUGAUGCUAAGGGAUGUGAAAAAUAGCAAGAAGGAACCAUGCUGUCAGCAUGGCAAUAGCCUCUUGGUCUCAUGGAGACUGAUGAGAAAGGAUUAUUAGAAAAGUUGCCCAUUGUGCAAUGACACUUUUUCUGUAAUGUUUAUUGUAGUACAGAAUAAUGUAUUUUUCUCUGUGGGCUAGUCAGCAGUUUGUCACCAGAAGCAGGGUGGCCAGCAGGCCAAGGGAAGUGACUUUCCCCCUCUGCUCUGGUGAGACCCCACCUGCAGUGCUGUGUCCAGUUCUGGGCUCCCCAACAAGAGAAGGGAGAAAUUCCUGUUGGAACAAGUCCAGAGAAGGCUAUGAAGAUGCUGAGAGGACUGGAGCACAUCUGCUAUGGAAACAGGAUGAGAGAGCUGGAGUUACUAAGCCUGGAGAAAAGAAGGUUCCAAGGAGAUUUUGGAGUCCCUUUCAGUCCUUUAGGGACUUCAGAGCCUGAAAAGAGGCUACAAGGGUAGCUGGAGAGGGAUUUUUUACAAGGGCAUUUUGUGAUGGUGAAAUGGUUUGAAACUGAAAGUGGGGAGAUUUAGACAAAAUGUUAGGAGGGAAUUCUUUAACUGGAGGUUAGCAAGACACUGGAAGCUGGAGGAAGUGGUAGAUGCCCUGUUCCUGCAAGGGCUCAUGGCCAGAAUCAUUCUAUGGAUUGUUUAGGGUUUUUUUCCACAAUUUUGAUUCUUCUGUGCCCUCCCUCUCAUCCUCCCAGUCCCAUAUUUUUGUGGAAAGGAAAGUUAAGACAUUCUUCAGUGAGAAUUAAUGAUUUUGUCAUAUUCUCUAGAGCUUUGCAAAGUGCCCAAUGAGAGCAUCACUAAAUACAGAGUAACAAAUAACAAUUAUAAAGUAUCAUAAAUAUAAAAUUAAACUCUCUCAUGGCUACUAUUAACAAUAAAAAAAUUAUAGCAGGAAAAAGAAGGGUUCACUCCAAUCAAAAAUUCAGUCACUUUCAAGCACUGUUAACUAUUAUGUAUAAUUUGGCAUUGGUGAUAGACAAUGUUGCAACAAAAAGUUUUCAAAAUAAAAAAAACCCUACAAGACCCCAAGUGCCAAUAGAAUAUUGCAGGCAUUAAAUUUUGAUUUGAAAAUAUUUGAGACAUGCUGUGAUUUAGUCUUGAGUGUGUCAGCAUGAUUUUCUUAUUGAUCUGAGCUGGUUCAUAGUUUCUGAAAUGAAAUAUAUAUAAUUGGGGGGGGUGUGGUUUUGUGAAUUUUUUUCUUUAAUUUUGUGGCUUUUUGAUUUGGUUGGUUUUGGUACUGGUGGGUUUGUUUGUGUGUGAAACACUUGAAGGAUUCAAGUAGCACACAACCACAGCACCACAUUUAAACUGGCCAAAGUCAUUUGCAAAUGGGAAGCUUCUUAGGUUUUAAUAUAACUAGAAUAAGUUCUAUACUCAGGCUUUUUGUAUAUAAAUAUAAAACUGAGGUUAUAUGCAUAACUUUGUUUCACUUUUGUAAAUAUGAAAAUUUUGUAAACAUUUUGUAUGUGUGGUGUUCUGUGAACUCCUAGCUCUGCUUAUGUGCCAAUUAUAAGCCUUCUCUUGUAUUUUUGCACAAAAUCUUCUUGUGUUACUAUCUCUAUCUUGUUAUCUCUGGAACUGUACUCCUGUGCUACCUUUCCCUGCAGUACCCAUUACACUCUGUAAGAGACGAUGAAAAUGGUCAGAAAAUGAAGAGCAGUUGUGGAAUAUGACACAGA
This is a non-coding RNA of Cyanistes caeruleus (blue tit), 3180 nucleotides long. Lineage: Eukaryota; Metazoa; Chordata; Aves; Passeriformes; Paridae. The record is from RefSeq and is a predicted model, not a curated record.